This 8232-nucleotide long non-coding RNA is filed under the name Marmota monax (woodchuck). The record is from RNAcentral. Lineage: Eukaryota; Metazoa; Chordata; Mammalia; Rodentia; Sciuridae.
CAUAGACAAACGGGGACUCCAAGGACCAGGAAACCCAAGUCGGGACCCCAGGACGCGAUUCGGCUUCUAGCUUCGCCUCCAAUCAGGAUACUCCUGGUACUUGGGCAGACAAGAAAUGGAAAUCGCAGGCGCCUCUAAAUGGAAGCUUGCUAAGCCAAUAAAGGCACAUCGCAGGGAGGCCAGGGAUCCUGCGACAGAGGCGCGGCGGACACUGAAACAAAACUCGGUUCUUUGGCGGAGAAGGAGAGGAGGGCGUCGGGAAGACUGUGCUGGGAAAGAAAAAGCUCAGGCGCGGCUACAGCCGAAGGACUCGGGAACAGAGGCGCCGCGGCCCUGCCAGCCUGGCUGCCACUAAGGAACUCUGUUAUGGCAACCGCGGAAACUGCACGUUAGAACCCAUCAGAGCUGUGUAUUCGGCGGUGCCACCGAGAAGACGCGCGCACAGAACAACUAGCUGAGCCGAGACCAAGAGAAAGUGGGCGGGAGAGAAUGGUGUGCUGGGAUUCCGCAAAGGACCUCAACUAGCCUUAGUGCCAGGGACAAACUUCCACUUUGGCGCCAACCACGGUGCUGUUACCUAGCAUCAGGCUACGCAAAGAAAGGAGCCUUACUGCCACCCAGGCUUGGUGCAAAUAUGUGCUGUGACAGGAAAACUGUCGGGGGCACGCUGCUGGUCAGAGAGCUAAUGGGAACACCGGGAAAGGUAACCGGGAAAGGCUGCACCAACUGGCCUAGGAAGGAGAAAGGGAUAGCCCAGAGUUCUCUCUGUCCAACUAAUGGCAGUGCUAAGGAGAAAAAGCAGGCUCUUUCUCUUUAGGGUGCGGCGCAAGUGAGCUGCGAUUCCAAUUGCUGGCUUCACUGGACCCUGCCUGCAAAAGCCAAAACCAGCUUAUGGCUUUGCCGAGGCCAAAGGCAUCGCUUCUGGCUCCUUCAGCGGUGCAGCAAGUAAAUCUACACCAGCUGGUAGCAGCAAUGUUGGUGAGUCCAUGCGUCUAGUGAGAUUUCCAUUCCCACUGGCUGUCCCCAAACCCGCGCUUCCGAAAUAACAAAAACUUUCUUUUCUUGGGGAAGUCCGGGCCCCCAAUUACCAAAGUCUCCAGCAACUAACCCAGAGGGCUGCACGUGAUGAGAGCAGGCUGAGUCUCCCCCGAGGUGGGAACGGAUCAGGCUGAUCUAAGGGAAAAGUAAGGUAUCCUGGACACCAACAGCUCUGCUAGCAGGAAGCAGUGCUGGGCCCUUCUUGCAUGCCACCCCUCCGUCUUGGUCUGAGGCCCCUCUUCUUUUAUAGACACCUCAGCGCUUUUAAGGUGAGUCAGGGAAACCUUUUCUUUAAGCAAAUAUAUUUUUUUAAAGAGAGAAUUUUUUAAUAUUUAGUUUUUAGUUAUCAGCGGACACAACAUCUUUGUUUGUAUGUGGUGCUGAGGAUCCAACCCGGGCCACACACAUGCCAGGCGAGCGUGCUACCACUUGAGCCACAUCCCCAGCCCCCCCUUCCCCCCCAAAAGGAAACUCUGCCCUAAACCUUCAAACUAAGGCUCCAGAAUUACUUAGCUAGGGUUCUGUCAAAUUAACGUUUUAAAUGAGUCAUUGAUGGCUUCCCUGUCUUGAGAUGUUGCAAUGGUGCCAAAGUUUCAAGCACUUGAAUCCUCCCUUUCCACUCACUUUUCAAGUUAGACUGAUGCCUCUGAAUUGCUUUUUGCUAGAAAGUAUAGAGGCGUCACUGCACAGAAGAAAAUUGCUCUGUCCCACGACAUUUUAUGCUUCCCCCAAAGAUCUGCACUACUGGAAGGGAUGCCCCACAGAGACUGCAGACUCCACCAUGUGCAUCUCCAGCAGCCCUUAAGAUCUGCCACACUCCUCUGGUCCCAUCAAAUCAAUUCCAUCCUCUUCCUAAAUGAGCCUGGGAUGUUUGCAGGAGGCACAGGUGUCCCAGAGAGGUAAGGGGGCCCCUUUUGGACUCUUAUCUCACCUAUUCUCAAGCUGGCUACUACAGUCUUCCCCCACUAUCCUACCAUUUCCUCCCCUAGCCAAAACCCUCUCUGGUACUUGAAGCAUCUCCAAUCGCCUCCUUUGCUGUGGAUCUGGAGAAUGGAGGAAGAAGUGCCUUGUCCCCACAGGAAAAGGUACAGCCACCUUAUCAGGACCAAGAGGCCAGGGCAGAGAGCUGUUUAAAGCAAAACUGGGGGCCCAUCAGUCCUAUUACUCACUCACCCACCCCUUGCCUACUUCAUUCAUUCACACUUUGCACUACUGCAGAUUGAACCUAUGUAUUUGAGGCAUGCUGGGCAAGCACUAUGGCGCUGAGCUAAACCCCCAACACUUCCCCUCCACCCUAGCCUUGCAUCUUAGCAGAAAUAUUGGAAUUAGCACCCCUAGUGUUAAGGGUUACCAACUCCAGUUUAGGAAUCUAAAGAGGAGUUUGGUAGGAGUUACUCCCCUGAAGGAGUGAGUAUGCUCCAUCCAUCAAACUUGGAAGAGCUCCCUUGCUAUCAGGCAUGUCCAGAGCCCCCUAUUCCAUGGAGGCUGAGCCAAGCACACACGUGGUGGGCCCAUCACUGGAUGAGUUCACUGGAUGAAGUCAGCAGUAUUGCCAAUGCCCUCAAUUCUCUCUCUCUCUUUUUUUAAUGUUGUCAAUUGACACUCAACAAAUGAACAUAUUUAUGAACUACAAUGUGAUAUCUCUAUACAUACAUACCUUUUUUGAACCUGUGCCUGUCUCAUUCUUAAAAGCUUAUCUUUGAGAAGUUUUGUUCCAUGACCCAGGUGUGGAGAGUCCAUUCUCUCCACUGAACUCUACAACCUGCCACUAUUGGCUGUCUGGGCCACAGCUUACAAUCAUCUGCCUCUUCUGAUGUCCAUUGUUUCCUUCCUUCCUUCCUUCCUUCCUUCCUUCCUUCCUUCCUUCCUUCCUUCCUUCCUCUCUCUCCCUCCUUUCCUUCACUUUUUAUUUUUACUUUUUCCCUUUUAAUUUUUGUUAUGACUCUUUCCUCUUUAUUCCCUUAUUUCUCAUGAUUAUUCCUACCAUUUUCUCUUAACCCCACCACAGCUCAUAUAAAAGGCUGGUUCUGAUAGAGUCAUCAUGAACAUUAGGUUACUUUGCAUUUAACCAGCCACCAUGGGGUAUGAGAGUUGGCUGUGUCCUGCAUGUCUCUUGACUUUAACUUGAUUUUCUCUCACAAACAUAAGCUCUUCAAAAGCAGGAAGCAGCUCUUCAAGUCUCUAUAUGCGGCAUCCACCAUAGAAUUUCACUCAUGACAGGUUACCACUCAUGCUCCCUAAAUAUCUGAAUUAAACUGACUUGGUUCUAUUGAAGAUAAAUGUCUGGUCAAGGAAAGCUCUGCUUUCAUGCCCUCCCAUUUUUGUGACUAGAAUGUCUGAUAAACUGAAGGAAACAUCCACUAGAAAGUAACUGCUCCAAGCACAUGACAUGAGGAAAAGCAAUAAGUUCACAGCAGAAACACACAUUAGAAACCUUUAUAAUUUAUUAAUCAUUUAGGUUGUAUUUAUGAUUUCAUCAAUUAUGAUAAUACAAUAAUCAUAAUUUAACAACUUACUUUCUGCUUUCAGCUGUCUACUUAUCACUGAUGGAUGAAUUGUAUCAUGAUACUACCUAUGAAAGGUUUUGUUUUCAGUUCACAGAUGGAAACNUUACUUAGCUAGGGUUCUGUCAAAUUAACGUUUUAAAUGAGUCAUUGAUGGCUUCCCUGUCUUGAGAUGUUGCAAUGGUGCCAAAGUUUCAAGCACUUGAAUCCUCCCUUUCCACUCACUUUUCAAGUUAGACUGAUGCCUCUGAAUUGCUUUUUGCUAGAAAGUAUAGAGGCGUCACUGCACAGAAGAAAAUUGCUCUGUCCCACGACAUUUUAUGCUUCCCCCAAAGAUCUGCACUACUGGAAGGGAUGCCCCACAGAGACUGCAGACUCCACCAUGUGCAUCUCCAGCAGCCCUUAAGAUCUGCCACACUCCUCUGGUCCCAUCAAAUCAAUUCCAUCCUCUUCCUAAAUGAGCCUGGGAUGAUUGCAGGAGGCACAGGUGUCCCAGAGAGGUAAGGGGGCCCCUUUUGGACUCUUAUCUCACCUAUUCUCAAGCUGGCUACUACAGUCUUCCCCCACUAUCCUACCAUUUCCUCCCCUAGCCAAAACCCUCUCUGGUACUUGAAGCAUCUCCAAUCGCCUCCUUUGCUGUGGAUCUGGAGAAUGGAGGAAGAAGUGCCUUGUCCCCACAGGAAAAGGUACAGCCACCUUAUCAGGACCAAGAGGCCAGGGCAGAGAGCUGUUUAAAGCAAAACUGGGGGCCCAUCAGUCCUAUUACUCACUCACCCACCCCUUGCCUACUUCAUUCAUUCACACUUUGCACUACUGCAGAUUGAACCUAUGUAUUUGAGGCAUGCUGGGCAAGCACUAUGGCGCUGAGCUAAACCCCCAACACUUCCCCUCCACCCUAGCCUUGCAUCUUAGCAGAAAUAUUGGAAUUAGCACCCCUAGUGUUAAGGGUUACCAACUCCAGUUUAGGAAUCUAAAGAGGAGUUUGGUAGGAGUUACUCCCCUGAAGGAGUGAGUAUGCUCCAUCCAUCAAACUUGGAAGAGCUCCCUUGCUAUCAGGCAUGUCCAGAGCCCCCUAUUCCAUGGAGGCUGAGCCAAGCACACACGUGGUGGGCCCAUCACUGGAUGAGUUCACUGGAUGAAGUCAGCAGUAUUGCCAAUGCCCUCAAUUCUCUCUCUCUCUUUUUUUAAUGUUGUCAAUUGACACUCAACAAAUGAACAUAUUUAUGAACUACAAUGUGAUAUCUCUAUACAUACAUACCUUUUUUGAACCUGUGCCUGUCUCAUUCUUAAAAGCUUAUCUUUGAGAAGUUUUGUUCCAUGACCCAGGUGUGGAGAGUCCAUUCUCUCCACUGAACUCUACAACCUGCCACUAUUGGCUGUCUGGGCCACAGCUUACAAUCAUCUGCCUCUUCUGAUGUCCAUUGUUUCCUUCCUUCCUUCCUUCCAUUCUCUCUCUCCCUCCUUUCCUUCACUUUUUAUUUUUACUUUUUCCCUUUUAAUUUUUGUUAUGACUCUUUCCUCUUUAUUCCCUUAUUUCUCAUGAUUAUUCCUACCAUUUUCUCUUAACCCCACCACAGCUCAUAUAAAAGGCUGGUUCUGAUAGAGUCAUCAUGAACAUUAGGUUACUUUGCAUUUAACCAGCCACCAUGGGGUAUGAGAGUUGGCUGUGUCCUGCAUGUCUCUUGACUUUAACUUGAUUUUCUCUCACAAACAUAAGCUCUUCAAAAGCAGGAAGCAGCUCUUCAAGUCUCUAUAUGCGGCAUCCACCAUAGAAUUUCACUCAUGACAGGUUACCACUCAUGCUCCCUAAAUAUCUGAAUUAAACUGACUUGGUUCUAUUGAAGAUAAAUGUCUGGUCAAGGAAAGCUCUGCUUUCAUGCCCUCCCAUUUUUGUGACUAGAAUGUCUGAUAAACUGAAGGAAACAUCCACUAGAAAGUAACUGCUCCAAGCACAUGACAUGAGGAAAAGCAAUAAGUUCACAGCAGAAACACACAUUAGAAACCUUUAUAAUUUAUUAAUCAUUUAGGUUGUAUUUAUGAUUUCAUCAAUUAUGAUAAUACAAUAAUCAUAAUUUAACAACUUAUUUUCUGCUUUCAGCUGUCUACUUAUCACUGAUGGAUGAAUUGUAUCAUGAUACUACCUAUGAAAGGUUUUGUUUUCAGUUCACAGAUGGAAACAUGAAGACUAUAGAUAGUAAAUCACCUGCUGAGUGUCAUAUCUAGAAAGUUGUAGGAAUGGAACUUAAACUUGUGAAAUUUAGGACCUUUGCAUUGGUCGUCCCUAUCAGAGGUAUUCACCACAAUUUUAGAAAGUUCUUUAAUGUAGUUAUUCAUUAAAAACAUAAAAAUAAAAACAAAAUAAAAUUUGGAGUCAACAAUUACAAUUACAAUUUGUAAUUCAACAAUUACACAUGAACCCACCACAUCUGAAUACUCCUUCAACUCUCUCUGCGAACCUCUCUCUCUCCUCAGAGACCAGGGUAUUCACAAGCACGGAGCAGGAAUGUAUUUCACAGAUGGCCAACAUCUCAGACUCAAGCAGAAUUGUCCUGAGAAUCAAAGGAGGGAAACCUACAGAAGUUAUGAAGUAUUUAUUAGUCAUUUUUGGAUGGUGGUAGGGAGUUCUGAAGAUUUGCUUACCCACCAAAAUACAUCCGCAGGCCUUCUUAUAUUAUAUUUUGAGACAUGGUCUCACUAAGUACUUUAGGGCCUCCUUAAUUUGCUUGAGGCUGGCUUUGAACUUAAGAUCAUCCUACUUCAGCCUCCUGAGUCCUAGAGUAACAGUCAAGCAAAACCACACCCAGCCUGGGAGCAAUGUUCUAAACUGCUCCUCCAGUCGAAUCCCCUUUAUGUAUAGUUUGCCACAUGAAUUUCCUUGGUUACUCUUUUGGCUGUGUUCAUGGUAACUCAACCCUUGGCCUCCAGAAAAUCCCUUCCCCUGUACUAUCCAUCUCUAACUUCUUCUUAUCUUCUCUCUCCUUUUGUGUGUGUUUGUUUGUGAAGGGACCCUGGAUAUUAAUUAAUUACUUUAUUUAUUUAUUUACUGUACCAUGGUUAUUUUGAAUUACCAAAUUGAUUAGAUUAAGAGAUGCAGAGGAUUAAGAGGCUUAUGGGUGUGUCAAUGAGGAUGUGUCUAGACAGGAUUGGCAUGUGGGAUAGCCAAGAGAAACGGAGACCUCAUUAAGCAUGGUCAGUACCAUCCAAUAAGAUGAUGGCUUGGAUAGAAUGAAAAUUGGAAGAACAAGGAAAGCAGCAGCAGAUGCAAGCUGAUUCCUCUUGAACAGUUCCUGAUUGCUGCUGUGAUUGAAUGUCAGACUCUUGCUUCUUCCAAAGCAGGCUCUGCCAGUGAUUCUCCAGAAGCCUUUGGUCUACUACGAGGGGAGCACCCUGAUUUCUCUUGUUCUGGGGAUUCAGCCUCUUGGACUGUGCAGAUACUUUGUUUUUCCAGUUCUCCAGCCUACAGACUGCCAUUGUGGAUGAUCCAGCUUCUGGUGCGUAAGUCAGCCUAAUAAGUUCCCUUCUUAUAACCAUACUUCCUGUUGAUUCUAUUCCUCUCCAGAACCAUAAUGCACAGGGAUUGAGCCCAAACUGCUUAAUCACUGAGCCACAUUCUCAGAAUUUUUUUUCCAGACAAUGUCUCCUAAAUUCUUAGGGUCUAGCUAAAUUGCUGAGGCUGGCUUGAACUUGCAAUCUUCCAGCCUCAGCGUCCUCCAAGGCUAACUAUCUCUCUCUCUCUCUCUCUCUCUCCCUCUCUCUCCCUCUCCCUCUCCCUCUCCCUCUCCCCCUGUCCCUCUCUUUCUCCCUCUUCUCUCCUUGGAGACCAGGUAGUAAGGUGUAGGCCAUGACAACCAGUGAUGGGUAUCCUGGGAUUUUUCAAAAUUGUUUUAAACCUGUCUAUCAACCAAAUCAAUUCAAUCAAACACUGACAUCCAAGAUGAUUGAAUUUUGCCUUCAGCAGGAAUGUACUCAUGAGAUCCUAUCUCCACUAACUUCUACACCGUGUGCUUCAGGUCAAGAGUAGCCCAGAAGAGUAGAAAUCAUCAGGCAAGGGGACUCUGAAGACUUUUCAUCCUCUGAGAGUCUGCAGCUAUGGAGAAGCAUUUCCCCAGCUGUGUGAAGGAGGCCUGGGAUUGUGGCUCCAGGGCCACAGGCACUGCUGGCCCUCAUGGAAUCAGAUCCUAGGCCCUGGCCUCUGUCUUUUUAUCCUAGGCUGAGCUUCCUUUCUUGGAAUCACCAGGACUUUAACCGUGAAACACUUUUAAAACCCUGUGGGUUUCUUGGCUCUGACUGCCCCCUCCAUGAAUCCGGAUUGCACAGCACUUUGAGAAGAGGCACAGAGCUGCCUGCCUGCCCAGGCCCAAAGCCUCUGACCCAGCAAGAGCCGCAUACCCCACUAGGAGAAUUGGAUGCCUCUAAGAAACUAGGCAGACCAGUGCCCAUGCUCUUUCCAGCAUUGUGCUGUGCGGAUGUCAAGAGCCACUGCCUGAGGUUUCCACUCCCAUGCAGAGACUUUAGAUUUUAAGGCUCUGGACUCCUGGCUGCCUGCCUUUGGCUUGAGAGCAUUGGCAUCUCUGCGAACAUGCUGCAAUGGAUGAUCAUCUGAGAAGAAACAGUGUUAAAAUAAACAAUUCUCAGAUUAGCAACCAAGUGAGAAGUUUACGCCUUCUUGAAUUUUCAUAAAAUUUUCUGU